Molecule: unclassified non-coding RNA, 351 nt
Filed under: soil metagenome
Description: partial contains 5.8S ribosomal RNA, internal transcribed spacer 2, and large subunit ribosomal RNA
Rfam family: 5.8S ribosomal RNA (bases 5-119)
Source: RNAcentral
GAUGAGAACGCAGUGAAAUGCGAUAAGUAAUGUGAAUUGCAGAAUUCAGUGAAUCAUCGAAUCUUUGAACGCACAUUGCGCCCGCCAGUAUUCUGGCGGGCAUGCCUGUUCGAGCGUCAUUACAACCCUCAGGCCCCCGGGCCUGGCGUUGGGGAUCGGCGGAGCCCCCCGUGGGCACACGCCGUCCCCCAAAUACAGUGGCGGUCCCGCCGCAGCUUCCAUCGCGUAGUAGCUAACACCUCGCGACUGGAGAGCGGCGCGGCCACGCCGUAAAACACCCAACUCUUCUGAAGUUGACCUCGAAUCAGGUAGGAAUACCCGCUGAACUUAAGCAUAUCAAUAAGCGGAGGA